UACGGAGGGGGCAAGCGUUAUUCGGAAUUAUUGGGCGUAAAGGGCGCGUAGGCGGCUAGAUGUGUCAAAGGUGAAAUCCCUCGGCUCAACUGAGGAACUGCCUUUGAAACUGUCUGGCUUGAGGCCGGGAGAGGGUAGCGGAAUUCCCAGUGUAGCGGUGAAAUGCGCAGAUAUCAGGAGGAACACCCAGGGGGAAACCAGCCGACUGGGCAAGUGCUGACGCUGAGGUGCGAGAGCGUGGGGAGCGAACCGG
This 253-nucleotide ribosomal RNA is filed under the name uncultured bacterium. RNAcentral's name for it is "partial 16S ribosomal RNA". It matches the Rfam family "Bacterial small subunit ribosomal RNA", at positions 524 to 776 of the family's 1533-position model. The record is from RNAcentral.